RNAcentral lists this ribosomal RNA (377 nucleotides) under Malassezia sp. Its description in RNAcentral is "partial small subunit ribosomal RNA". It matches the Rfam family "Eukaryotic small subunit ribosomal RNA", at positions 582 to 975 of the family's 1831-position model. The record is from RNAcentral. Lineage: Eukaryota; Fungi; Basidiomycota; Malasseziomycetes; Malasseziales; Malasseziaceae.
AUUCCAGCUCCAAUAGCGUAUAUUAAAGUUGUUGCAGUUAAAAAGCUCGUAGUUGGACCUUGGGCCUGGACGGGCGGUCCGCCUCACGGCGUGUACUGUCUUGCCGGGCCUUUCCUCUUGGUGAUCUGUUGUUUCGGCAGCAGGGAACCAGGACCUUUACUUUGAAAAAAUUAGAGUGUUCAAAGCAGGCUCGACGCCGGAAUAUAUUAGCAUGGAAUAAUAAAAUAGGACGUGCGGUUCUAUUUUGUUGGUUUUGAAUCGCCGUAAUGAUUAAUAGGGACAGUCGGGGGCAUUAGUACUCACAUGCUAGAGGUGAAAUUCUUGGAUUUUGUGAAGACUAACUUCUGCGAAAGCAUUUGCCAAGGAUGUUUUCAUUA